AACAGCGAGAAUAAUGAAUUAUACGAUUUUCAUUAUUUCAAUUAUCGCUACAGUGGUUUUAACUGCUUCUAUAAACGAAGGUACUUCUGACGAUGUCCUGACUUCGACUCAAACCAAUCGAACUGAUAUUGGAUUCCACAGAGUGAAAAGAAGACUAUGCGAAAAUAUGAAAUGUGACGACCAUUGUAAACUUCUUUAUGGAACACAUGGGAAAUGUUUCAUUUUAUGUGUUUGUUAUUAUUAAUAUUUUUUUAAAUAAAAUAUGACUAUUAAUUAGCAUAAAAUUAA
Papilio polytes (common Mormon) is the source of this 288-nucleotide long non-coding RNA. RefSeq lists it as uncharacterized. NCBI's taxonomy places the organism in Eukaryota, Metazoa, Arthropoda, Insecta, Lepidoptera, Papilionidae. The transcript is spliced from 2 exons. The record is from RefSeq and is a predicted model, not a curated record.